GAUGGAAGCUACAUCCUCACGGAUCCAGUUGCAUUUGUUACCACUGAGCCAUCACAGUAACUCCUGAUGCUGGCUACUGUUUGUUACCUACUUACUUUGUGUCAAACCUUUAAUACUCUCAACUCACUUAAUUCACACAUCAACCCUGUGAGGUAGGUACUGUUAUUACCCCUAUUUUAGAGAUGAGGAUAAGGAGGCUUAGGGAAAUUAAGUAUCACAGCUAGUAAACAAGUCAUCUAUGGGAAUUAACAGGUAAUAUACAAAUUAGUGAUUGGCCUGUCCCUAAAGCGAAGUGGGAAGACUCACACUUUAGAGCAAUCGUAGCCUCUGUGGACUUUGAAUGUCCAUGGCUCUAAACUAAGUAGCAAGAGUAGAAACACCACUUUGGUUUGAAAAUAUUCUUGGGAGUUCUCUGAUGGCCUAGCAGGUUAAGGAUCCUGUGUUUUCACUGCCAUGGUUGCUGUCCUGUAAGGCAAGGUCGAUCCCUGGCCUGGGAACUUCCACCUGCUGCGGGUGUGGCAAAAAAGAAAAACAAACAAAACCCAAACAAACAAGAGAGAAACUGAAGUAAAUGUUGCAACUCUCAUUAAAAAUAUAUGUGUGUAUAUAUAUACUUUUUUUUCCCAAAGGUUUUUUCUGUACUCUGAUUCACUCUCUUUGUUUUUUCCAGGUCCUAGAGCCUAGGAACUUGGUGUGUCAACUGCAGGAUUCAGGUACAAAGUCUCAGAGAUGAAGACACUUAUUCUUCAAAAGUAUACCUGGAAGACAGACUGCAGUGGCUGACCUGGUUUUCUUCCCUCACUUGUGUCAUCUGAUACCAGAAGUCCGUCUCUUUCUUCGUUUACCAAGUGGAUGUUUGUCUGCAGGGCAAGUAAGUAAACACAGAGAACAAUCAUUAUUAAGCAGUAUUCCUGCUGUUCUGAAAAUUCCUUUCAAUUCAAAAUAGGCAUAUGCAUUUCAGGAAGUGAGCUGUGAAGAAUGUAGCAAGUCCACAUCUGUUCAGCUGGCGGUGCAGCAGCCCUGGAAUCAGCCCCUGUCCCUGGGGCCACCUCAUCCACCCAGUGCUGGAGCUGGACUGCUUGAGCCUUUCUGCCAGUCAAAGGC
This 1104-nucleotide long non-coding RNA is filed under the name Sus scrofa (pig). RNAcentral describes it as "lncRNA (ENSSSCG00070015003.1)". Lineage: Eukaryota; Metazoa; Chordata; Mammalia; Artiodactyla; Suidae. The record is from RNAcentral.